GCUAGGUCAUACCACCCUGAAAACGCCUGAUCUCGGAAGCUAAACAGGGUCGGGCCUGCUUAGUACUUGGAUGGGAGACCGCCUGGGAAUACCAGGUGCUGUAAGUG
RNAcentral lists this ribosomal RNA (107 nucleotides) under Gadus morhua (Atlantic cod). Lineage: Eukaryota; Metazoa; Chordata; Actinopteri; Gadiformes; Gadidae. The record is from RNAcentral.